AUUGAACGCUGGCGGCAUGCCUUACACAUGCAAGUCGAACGGCAGCAUGGAGAGCUUGCUCUCUGAUGGCGAGUGGCGAACGGGUGAGUAAUGCAUCGGAACGUACCGUGUAAUGGGGGAUAACGUAGCGAAAGUUACGCUAAUACCGCAUACGACCUGAGGGUGAAAGCAGGGGAUCGCAAGACCUUGCGUUAUACGAGCGGCCGAUGUCAGAUUAGCUAGUUGGUGAGGUAAAGGCUCACCAAGGCGACGAUCUGUAGCGGGUCUGAGAGGAGGAUCCGCAACAACGGGACUGGGACACGGGCCAGACUCCUACGGGAGGCAGCAGUGGGGAAUUUUGGACAAUGGGGGCAACCCUGAUCCAGCCAUGCCGCGUGAGUGAAGAAGGCCUUCGGGUUGUAAAGCUCUUUCGGCCGGGAAGAAAUCGCACAGGCUAAUACUCUGUGUGGAUGACGGUACCGGCAUAAGAAGCACCGGCUAACUACGUGCCAGCAGCCGCCGUAA
RNAcentral lists this ribosomal RNA (504 nucleotides) under uncultured bacterium. Its description in RNAcentral is "partial 16S ribosomal RNA". It matches the Rfam family "Bacterial small subunit ribosomal RNA", at positions 30 to 523 of the family's 1533-position model. The record is from RNAcentral.